CAACCCUCCCGCGCAGGCCAUAAGAGGCAAAUGAACCUUUGUUGGUUGGCGGGAAAUCGAGACCCUGGCAAGGGGGCUUCUCCCUUGGAGAAGCCUGAGAACUGCCAGGUCCGCGGCCGUUAACCCGCCUCUAGGGACGGCCGCACUGCGCAUGUCUGAAAGGGAACUAGAAAGGGAGGAGCGAGAGAGGGUGGGGCUGAGGAGGAGGCUGUGUGAGAAAAGGGGCGGGGCGCGCCCAAAGUCUGGCGGAAGAGCGUUACCCUGGCAACCCUCCCGCGGAGGCCGAGAGAGGCCACCGGCCCUUUGUUGAUCUGCGAGAAAUCAAACUACGAACACGACAAGCAUUAGCCUGCAGCUCGAGGAGACAAGUCCUGAACUGACAGCCACAAGUGGCACCUGAACAGGGACUUGAACAAAGAAGGUCUGCUGGAGCAGAAAAAGUGAAACUGACCAGAUGAAUGAGAAACCCUGGGAUGAGUCUGCCUGCAGAGGAUAUAAGGAGAUGGAUAAACCGUGUGAGUGCCCUCAAGUUGUGUGCGACCAUGGAAUGGGAGACUGGAGGGAUACAUGGAUCCCAACUACAGGCCCAGCUCCUCCAGUAUGAGCCAUGAGCCAGUUGAAUCUGAAUGUGAAGAUGGAAUGAAGACCGACGAGAGUCACACUGACGUCAACCCUCAUAACAUGGGGUCAGAUCAAGAAAACCACACCAGAAGCUGAGAAACUGGUGUAGUGCCAGGGUCAGGCAAAAACCCCUGACUCCAUGUUUAUGGCCAUGCUAGCUGUAAUAUCCUGUGCAGUAUGAUUUUUCUGUGCAGAAGCAAAAACAUAUUGGGCAUAUUUUCCUAACCCACCGGUAGUGUGAUCAUACUCUGAAGCAGCACUCCUCCUGAGAUAUAUCAUGAUCAAGGAGCAUCAGUACCAGGACCUCUAACUCCCCCUGACACAGAGCAAUUAGACUCUCAUAACAAUGGUAUCAAUUAUACCACUCCAUUGGAGGGACUUCCUUUAUGUGUCACCCAGGAUACAUUGCUCAACUGCAGUUGCCUUGCAGUUUGAUCCCAAGCAUGGUUGAGUUACCAUUAAAAAAUUAUGUACCUAUUAGACCUUAGCUUUAUUAAUAUUACUUGUGUAGUUACUAAUCACUCCUGGCCCCAUCACCCAAAUUGUACUGAUUAUACAGAAUGGGCUCCCUUUGAUAAUUCUCACCCCCCUCCUUGGGCCCACUGUCUUGGCCCCUUAGCUAGACAAUAGUCCAUGUUAAUGGGAGACAUUAUUGACUGGGGUCCCUGUGGUCAUUAAGAUGGGAGAGAUGAGAAUCAGACCACAUGGCAUAAACUUCACUGGCACUGGUGGCGAAACUUUAACAUCUCUUCACUUCAACACACUGGGAUUCAAUCCCAAUCUGCCAUGCAACUUGCUUGGCAUGGAACGGGCUUUAGCCCACCUUUGCCUCAAUGGCAUUAUCAAGGAAAGAGAGGUCCAAUUCAGGAGUCUAUGUGGAAGGCAGCACUCCCAUAUAUGAAUGGCAGCAUUUGGGUUGGGACACUAUCCAAUAAUAGUAAUAGUGCUCAAUACAGUUUAAUGUUACCUUUGUAAAAAAUGUUUGAAAUUUGUGUUUUUAAUCCCUAUGUUUUUCUAGCAGCAAAAAAGGACCAACUCCAGGUAAACAAUGCCCAAUUGAAUUGUGAUUCCUGUCAACUCUAUCAUUGCCUUAAUCAUAGCACAAUACAAACACACAGCAUAUCCACCCUAAUAAUUCUAGGUCGCAUUCCUGGAUUAUGGAUUCCUGUAAAUCUAUCUGAGCCUUGGGCAGCCACCCCCACUUUACAUUUUGUAAAACUUCUUACUCAGCUUACUCAUGGCACUCGUAGAGCCUUAGGCAUGAUAAUUUUUACUAUAGUCUCCUUAAUUACAUUAAUACCCUCUGUUGUGGUGUCCUCAGUAGCACUGGACAGCUCCACUCAAACAGCUCAAUAUGCAGAAAAUUGGAUGCAUACAGCUGACCAGGCAUGGAUGUUUCAAAAUAAAACUAACACUGAGAUACAAACAGAAGUGGCAAUGUUAAAGACUACUGUUCUGUGGCUAG
RNAcentral lists this long non-coding RNA (2086 nucleotides) under Homo sapiens (human). RNAcentral describes it as "HSALNT0385568". The record is from RNAcentral. Lineage: Eukaryota; Metazoa; Chordata; Mammalia; Primates; Hominidae.